RNAcentral lists this ribosomal RNA (253 nucleotides) under uncultured bacterium. Its description in RNAcentral is "partial 16S ribosomal RNA". It matches the Rfam family "Bacterial small subunit ribosomal RNA", at positions 524 to 776 of the family's 1533-position model. The record is from RNAcentral.
UACGUAGGGACCAAGCGUUGUUCGGAUUUACUGGGCGUAAAGGGCGCGUAGGCGGCGUGUUAAGUCACUUGUGAAAUCUCUAAGCUUAACUUAGAACGGUCAAGUGAUACUGAUGUGCUAGAGUGCAGAAGGGGCAACCGGAAUUCUUGGUGUAGCGGUGAAAUGCGUAGAUAUCAAGAGGAACACCUGAGGUGAAGACGGGUUGCUGGGCUGACACUGACGCUGAGGCGCGAAAGCUAGGGGAGCAAACGGG